Molecule: ribosomal RNA, 378 nt
Filed under: uncultured eukaryote
Lineage: Eukaryota
Description: partial 18S ribosomal RNA
Rfam family: Eukaryotic small subunit ribosomal RNA
Source: RNAcentral
CAAUAGCGUAUAUUAAAGUUGUUGCAGUUAAAAAGCUCGUAGUUGGAUUUGUGGUUCGUCCCGCCGGCUGGGUCAUUGACCUUUGCUGUGCUGGUCGUCCAUCCUUGGGUGGAAUCUGUGUGGCAUUAGGUUGUCGCGCAGGGGAUGCCCAUCGUUUACUGUGAAAAAAUUAGAGUGUUCAAAGCAGGCUUAUGCCGUUGAAUAUAUUAGCAUGGAAUAAUGAUAUAGGACCUUGGUACUAUUUUGUUGGUUUGCGCACUGAGGUAAUGAUUAAUAGGGACAGUUGGGGGUAUUCGUAUUCCAUUGUAAGAGGUGAAAUUCUUGGAUUUUUGGAAGACGAACUACUGCGAAAGCAUUUACCAAGGAUGUUUUCAUUGA